GAUCAUGGCUCAGGAUGAACGCUGGCGGCGUGCCUAAUACAUUCAAGUAGAACGCUGAAGGAAGGAGCUUGCUCUUUCCGGAUGAGUUGCGAACGGGUGAGUAACGCGUAGGUAACCUGCCUGGUAGCGGGGGAUAACUAUUGGAAACGAUAGCUAAUACCGCAUAACAGUAGAUAUUGCAUGAUAUUUGCUUGAAAGGGGCAAUUGCUCCACUACCAGAUGGACCUGCGUUG
Molecule: ribosomal RNA, 233 nt
Filed under: uncultured bacterium
Lineage: Bacteria
Description: partial 16S ribosomal RNA
Rfam family: Bacterial small subunit ribosomal RNA
Source: RNAcentral